This 496-nucleotide long non-coding RNA is filed under the name Zea mays. Its description in RNAcentral is "long non-coding RNA (ZMAY_LNC003998)". The record is from RNAcentral. Lineage: Eukaryota; Viridiplantae; Streptophyta; Magnoliopsida; Poales; Poaceae.
UAGAGAGUCCUCAAUAGAGAGGCAAAAUACGACAGGCAAAUUGUGACCAUAUUUAGCAUUGAUGGAAAAGUUAAUAAGUUAUGCUAGACCAGAGCACCAACUGUAAGUCUGAAUUCUUGAGAGUGAAAGUUUCAAGAAACAUCAUUCUCAAUCACCAAUCAGUAUUUAUUCCAUUAUUUUGCUAAAGCAGAGAAAAAGCAGUGAUGCAUCUGCCGAGUCUAGAUCUGAAGUGGAAGGUGUAACAUCUCCUGCUAACACAUCCUAUUUUGACCCCUGUUCACGAGGAGGCAAGUGGUUGAUCCUGUACAGUUUAGUGUGUGAACAAAAAACUGGCGCUACUGGCAUAUUCUACACAUUAUUCAUGAAGGGUCGGUAGACUGUAAUUGUUCUGUAAACAUUCAUUGGAUGGGAAAUGGUACUACCUCCUUUUGUUUUCCUGUUGUUUUUGGUAUUAUGGGUUCUAACUAGAUCAUUUUCCGAAGAAGUUGGAAUGUAA